This 907-nucleotide ribosomal RNA is filed under the name Escherichia coli. RNAcentral describes it as "partial 23S ribosomal RNA". It matches the Rfam family "Bacterial large subunit ribosomal RNA", at positions 244 to 1191 of the family's 2925-position model. Lineage: Bacteria; Pseudomonadati; Pseudomonadota; Gammaproteobacteria; Enterobacterales; Enterobacteriaceae. The record is from RNAcentral.
UAGCGGCGAGCGAACGGGGAGCAGCCCAGAGCCUGAAUCAGUGUGUGUGUUAGUGGAAGCGUCUGGAAAGGCGCGCGAUACAGGGUGACAGCCCCGUACACAAAAAUGCACAUACUGUGAGCUCGAUGAGUAGGGCGGGACACGUGGUAUCCUGUCUGAAUAUGGGGGGACCAUCCUCCAAGGCUAAAUACUCCUGACUGACCGAUAGUGAACCAGUACCGUGAGGGAAAGGCGAAAAGAACCCCGGCGAGGGGAGUGAAAAAGAACCUGAAACCGUGUACGUACAAGCAGUGGGAGCACGCUUAGGCGUGUGACUGCGUACCUUUUGUAUAAUGGGUCAGCGACUUAUAUUCUGUAGCAAGGUUAACCGAAUAGGGGAGCCGAAGGGAAACCGAGUCUUAACUGGGCGUUAAGUUGCAGGGUAUAGACCCGAAACCCGGUGAUCUAGCCAUGGGCAGGUUGAAGGUUGGGUAACACUAACUGGAGGACCGAACCGACUAAUGUUGAAAAAUUAGCGGAUGACUUGUGGCUGGGGGUGAAAGGCCAAUCAAACCGGGAGAUAGCUGGUUCUCCCCGAAAGCUAUUUAGGUAGCGCCUCGUGAAUUCAUCUCCGGGGGUAGAGCACUGUUUCGGCAAGGGGGUCAUCCCGACUUACCAACCCGAUGCAAACUGCGAAUACCGGAGAAUGUUAUCACGGGAGACACACGGCGGGUGCUAACGUCCGUCGUGAAGAGGGAAACAACCCAGACCGCCAGCUAAGGUCCCAAAGUCAUGGUUAAGUGGGAAACGAUGUGGGAAGGCCCAGACAGCCAGGAUGUUGGCUUAGAAGCAGCCAUCAUUUAAAGAAAGCGUAAUAGCUCACUGGUCGAGUCGGCCUGCGCGGAAGAUGUAACGGGGCUAAACCAUG